RNAcentral lists this ribosomal RNA (682 nucleotides) under uncultured Methanonatronarchaeia archaeon. RNAcentral's name for it is "bacterial SSU rRNA". It matches the Rfam family "Archaeal small subunit ribosomal RNA", at positions 216 to 895 of the family's 1478-position model. The record is from RNAcentral. Lineage: Archaea; Methanobacteriati; Methanobacteriota; Methanonatronarchaeia.
UGCGGCCGAUUAGGUUGUUGCUAGGGUUAAUGACCCUAGCAAGCCUAUAAUCGGUACGGGCUCUGAGAGGAGGAGCCCCGAGACGGACUCUUAGACACGAGUCCGGGCCCUACGGGGCGCAGCAGGCGCGAAACCUUUUACAAUGUGCGAAAGCACGAUAAGGGGAUCCCAAGUGCCAGCGCACUGCGUUGGCUGUUCUCUAGCCUAAAAAGCUAGAGGUAGUAAGGACCGGGCAAGACCGGUGCCAGCCGCCGCGGUAGCACCGGCGGUCCAAGUGGUGGCCACUUUUAUUGGGCCUAAAGCGUCCGUAGCCGGCCAAGUAAGUCCUUUAGGAAAUCUGGUGGCUUAACCAUCAGGCGACUGAGGGAAACUACUUGGCUUGGGACCGGGAGAGGUUCCGGGUACCCCAGGGGUAGCGGUGAAAUCCUGUAAUCCCUGGGAGACCACCUGUGGCUAAAGCUCGGAACUAGAACGGGUCCGACGGUGAGGGACGAAAGCCAGGGGCACAAACCGGAUUAGAUACCCGGGUAGUCCUGGCCGUCAACGAUGCCCGCUAGGUGUAGGCCGUAGCACGUCUGCGGCCUGUGCCUUAGUGAAGACGUUAAGCGGGCCGCCUGGGAAGAACGUCCGCAAGGAUGAAACUUAAAGGAAUUGGCGGGGGAGCACCACAACCGGUGGAGCC